CCUACGGGGCGCAGCAGUGAGGAAUAUUGGUCAAUGGGCGCGAGCCUGAACCAGCCAAGUAGCGUGAAGGAUGACUGCCCUACGGGUUGUAAACUUCUUUUAUAAAGGAAUAAAGUCAGGCACGUGUGCCUUUUUGUAUGUACUUUAUGAAUAAGGAUCGGCUAACUCCGUGCCAGCAGCCGCGGUAAUACGGAGGAUCCGAGCGUUAUCCGGAUUUAUUGGGUUUAAAGGGUGCGUAGAUGGGUUGUUAAGUUAGUGGUGAAAGUUUGCGGCUCAACCGUAAAAUUGCAUUUGAUACUGGCCGUCUUGAGGACAGUUGAGGUAGGCGGAAUUCGUGGUGUAGCGGUGAAAUGCUUAGAUAUCACGAAGAACUCCGAUUGCGAAGGCAGCUUACUAAACUGCCACUGACAUUGAUGCUCGAAAGUGUGGGUAGCAAACAGGAUUAGAUACCCCUGUAGUC
Molecule: ribosomal RNA, 460 nt
Filed under: uncultured bacterium
Lineage: Bacteria
Description: partial 16S ribosomal RNA
Rfam family: Bacterial small subunit ribosomal RNA
Source: RNAcentral